AUUAGAGUUUGAUCAUGGCUCAAAUUGAACGCUGGCGGCAUGCCUUACACAUGCAAGUCGAACGGCAGCACGGGAGCAAUCCUGGUGGCGAGUGGCGAACGGGUGAGUAAUACAUCGGAACGUGUCCUGUAGUGGGGGAUAGCCCGGCGAAAGCCGGAUUAAUACCGCAUACGAUCUGCGGAUGAAAGCGGGGGAUCUUCGGACCUCGCGCUGCAGGGGCGGCCGAUGGCAGAUUAGCUAGUUGGUGGGGUAAAGGCCUACCAAGGCGACGAUCUGUAGCUGGUCUGAGAGGACGACCAGCCACACUGGGACUGAGACACGGCCCAGACUCCUACGGGAGGCAGCAGUGGGGAAUUUUGGACAAUGGGCGCAAGCCUGAUCCAGCAAUGCCGCGUGUGUGAAGAAGGCCUUCGGGUUGUAAAGCACUUUUGUCCGGAAAGAAAACGCCCGGGUUAAUACCCUGGGCGGAUGACGGUACCGGAAGAAUAAGCACCGGCUAACUACGUGCCAGCAGCCGCGGUAAUACGUAGGGUGCAAGCGUUAAUCGGAAUUACUGGGCGUAAAGCGUGCGCAGGCGGUCCGCUAAGACAGAUGUGAAAUCCCCGGGCUUAACCUGGGAACUGCAUUUGUGACUGGCGGGCUAGAGUAUGGCAGAGGGGGAUAGAAUUCCACGUGUAGCAGUGAAAUGCGUAGAGAUGUGGAGGAAUACCGAUGGCGAAGGCAGUCCCCUGGGCCAAUACUGACGCUCAUGCACGAAAGCGUGGGGAGCAAACAGGAUUAGAUACCCUGGUAGUCCACGCCCUAAACGAUGUCAACUGGUUGUUGGACGUCUUGCUGUUCAGUAACGAAGCUAACGCGUGAAGUUGACC
Molecule: ribosomal RNA, 869 nt
Filed under: uncultured Burkholderia sp.
Lineage: Bacteria; Pseudomonadati; Pseudomonadota; Betaproteobacteria; Burkholderiales; Burkholderiaceae
Description: bacterial SSU rRNA
Rfam family: Bacterial small subunit ribosomal RNA
Source: RNAcentral